This 560-nucleotide ribosomal RNA is filed under the name uncultured bacterium. RNAcentral describes it as "partial 16S ribosomal RNA". It matches the Rfam family "Bacterial small subunit ribosomal RNA", at positions 355 to 907 of the family's 1533-position model. The record is from RNAcentral.
UGGGGAAUUUUGGACAAUGGGGGAAACCCUGAUCCAGCCAUCCCGCGUGUGCGAUGAAGGCCUUCGGGUUGUAAAGCACUUUUGGCAGGAAAGAAACGUCGCGGGUUAAUACCUCGCGGAACUGACGGUACCUGCAGAAUAAGCACCGGCUAACUACGUGCCAGCAGCCGCGGUAAUACGUAGGGUGCAAGCGUUAAUCGGAAUUACUGGGCGUAAAGCGUGCGCAGGCGGUUCGGAAAGAAAGAUGUGAAAUCCCAGAGCUUAACUUUGGAACUGCAUUUUUAACUACCGGGCUAGAGUGUGUCAGAGGGAGGUGGAAUUCCGCGUGUAGCAGUGAAAUGCGUAGAUAUGCGGAGGAACACCGAUGGCGAAGGCAGCCUCCUGGGAUAACACUGACGCUCAUGCACGAAAGCGUGGGGAGCAAACAGGAUUAGAUACCCUGGUAGUCCACGCCCUAAACGAUGUCAACUAGCUGUUGGGGUCUUCGGACCUUGGUAGCGCAGCUAACGCGUGAAGUUGACCGCCUGGGGAGUACGGUCGCAAGAUUAAAAACUCAAAGG